This 330-nucleotide ribosomal RNA is filed under the name uncultured bacterium. Its description in RNAcentral is "bacterial SSU rRNA". It matches the Rfam family "Bacterial small subunit ribosomal RNA", at positions 18 to 344 of the family's 1533-position model. The record is from RNAcentral.
CAUGGCUCAGGACGAACGCUGGCGGCAGGCUUAACACAUGCAAGUCGAACGGUAACAUAAAGAAGCUUGCUUCUUUGAUGACGAGUGGCGGACGGGUGAGUAAUGCUUGGGAAUCUGGCUUAUGGAGGGGGAUAACUACGGGAAACUGUAGCUAAUACCGCGUAAUAUCGAAAGAUUAAAGUGUGGGACCUUCGGGCCACAUGCCAUAGGAUGAGCCCAAGUGGGAUUAGGUAGUUGGUGAGGUAAGGGCUCACCAAGCCGACGAUCUCUAGCUGGUCUGAGAGGAUGACCAGCCACACUGGGACUGAGACACGGCCCAGACUCCUACGG